RNAcentral lists this ribosomal RNA (402 nucleotides) under uncultured Sphingomonas sp. Its description in RNAcentral is "bacterial SSU rRNA". It matches the Rfam family "Bacterial small subunit ribosomal RNA", at positions 355 to 774 of the family's 1533-position model. Lineage: Bacteria; Pseudomonadati; Pseudomonadota; Alphaproteobacteria; Sphingomonadales; Sphingomonadaceae. The record is from RNAcentral.
UGGGGAAUAUUGGACAAUGGGCGAAAGCCUGAUCCAGCAAUGCCGCGUGAGUGAUGAAGGCCUUAGGGUUGUAAAGCUCUUUUACCCGGGAAGAUAAUGACUGUACCGGGAGAAUAAGCCCCGGCUAACUCCGUGCCAGCAGCCGCGGUAAUACGGAGGGGGCUAGCGUUGUUCGGAAUUACUGGGCGUAAAGCGUACGUAGGCGGCUUUGUAAGUUAGAGGUGAAAGCCCUGGGCUCAACCCCGGAAUUGCCUUUAAGACUGCAUCGCUUGAACGUCGGAGAGGUGAGUGGAAUUCCGAGUGUAGAGGUGAAAUUCGUAGAUAUUCGGAAGAACACCAGUGGCGAAGGCGGCUCACUGGACGACUGUUGACGCUGAGGUACGAAAGCGUGGGGAGCAAACA